GUGGGGAAUCUUGCGCAAUGGGCGAAAGCCUGACGCAGCCAUGCCGUGUGAAUGAUGAAGGUCUUAGGAUUGUAAAAUUCUUUCACCGGGGACGAUAAUGACGGUACCCGGAGAAGAAGCUCCGGCUAACUUCGUGCCAGCAGCCGCGGUAAUACGAAGGGGGCUAGCGUUGCUCGGAAUUACUGGGCGUAAAGGGCGCGUAGGCGGACAGCUUAGUCAGAGGUGAAAGCCCAGGGCUCAACCUUGGAAUUGCCUUUGAUACUGGCUGUCUUGAGUUUGGGAGAGGUGAGUGGAACUCCGAGUGUAGAGGUGAAAUUCGUAGAUAUUCGGAAGAACACCAGUGGCGAAGGCGACUCACUGGCCCAAUACUGACGCUGAGGCGCGAAAGCGUGGGGAGCAAACAGGAUUAGAAACCCCUGUAGUCC
Molecule: ribosomal RNA, 425 nt
Filed under: uncultured bacterium
Lineage: Bacteria
Description: partial 16S ribosomal RNA
Rfam family: Bacterial small subunit ribosomal RNA
Source: RNAcentral